GGCUAGGUAUUUGUUGGUAGAACAUGAGACUCUUAAUCUCAGGGUUGUGGGUUCGAGUCUUACGAUGGGUGAAACA
Podarcis lilfordi (Lilford's wall lizard) is the source of this 76-nucleotide non-coding RNA. NCBI's taxonomy places the organism in Eukaryota, Metazoa, Chordata, Lepidosauria, Squamata, Lacertidae. The record is from the annotation of a GenBank genome assembly.